CAUCUCACAGGAUGCGCAUGGGGAACGGAAGGGGUGUUUUGCCCUGACACUGGAACAAGAGCAAGUUUUGAGGACCUGAAUAUAAGCUGUGGAAGCUGCCUCAAUGUAAGGAAAAGGAAAGAAGAAAAUCCCAACCAUUCAUAUUUCUAAAGGAGUAAAAAUGUCUUGGUGCAACUUGCCUGG
Molecule: long non-coding RNA, 183 nt
Organism: Manacus vitellinus (golden-collared manakin)
Lineage: Eukaryota; Metazoa; Chordata; Aves; Passeriformes; Pipridae
Exons: 3
Source: RefSeq, a predicted model, not a curated record